RNAcentral lists this ribosomal RNA (1174 nucleotides) under Pantoea deleyi. RNAcentral describes it as "partial 23S ribosomal RNA". It matches the Rfam family "Bacterial large subunit ribosomal RNA", at positions 1 to 1208 of the family's 2925-position model. The record is from RNAcentral. Lineage: Bacteria; Pseudomonadati; Pseudomonadota; Gammaproteobacteria; Enterobacterales; Erwiniaceae.
GGGUUGUGAGGUUAAGCGACUAAGCGUACACGGUGGAUGCCCAGGCAGUCAGAGGCGAUGAAGGACGUGCUAAUCUGCGUAAAGCGACGGUAAGGUGAUAUGAACCGCUACAGCCGUCGAUGUCCGAAUGGGGAAACCCGGUGCACUCUGUGCAUCAUUGCAGCAUGAAUACAUAGUGCUGCAAGGCGAACCGGGGGAACUGAAACAUCUAAGUACCCCGAGGAAAAGAAAUCAACCGAGAUUCCCCCAGUAGCGGCGAGCGAACGGGGAGCAGCCCAGAGCCUGAAUCAGCCUGUGUGUUAGUGGAAGCGUCUGGAAAGUCGCAGGGUACAGGGUGAUACUCCCGUACACAAAAACACACGGUCUGUGAGCUCGAUGAGUAAGGCGGGACACGUGGUAUCCUGUCUGAAUAUGGGGGGACCAUCCUCCAAGGCUAAAUACUCCUGACUGACCGAUAGUGAACCAGUACCGUGAGGGAAAGGCGAAAAGAACCCCGGCGAGGGGAGUGAAACAGAACCUGAAACCGUGUACGUACAAGCAGUGGGAGCCUCUUUUAUGGGGUGACUGCGUACCUUUUGUAUAAUGGGUCAGCGACUUAUAUUCUGUAGCAAGGUUAACCGUAUAGGGGAGCCGCAGGGAAACCGAGUCUUAACUGGGCGUUAAGUUGCAGGGUAUAGACCCGAAACCCGGUGAUCUAGCCAUGGGCAGGUUGAAGGUUGGGUAACACUAACUGGAGGACCGAACCGACUAAUGUUGAAAAAUUAGCGGAUGACCUGUGGCUGGGGGUGAAAGGCCAAUCAAACCGGGAGAUAGCUGGUUCUCCCCGAAAGCUAUUUAGGUAGCGCCUCGUGAACUCAUCUCCGGGGGUAGAGCACUGUUUCGGCUAGGGGGCCAUCCCGGCUUACCAACCCGAUGCAAACUGCGAAUACCGGAGAAUGUUAUCACGGGAGACACACGGCGGGUGCUAACGUCCGUCGUGAAGAGGGAAACAACCCAGACCGCCAGCUAAGGUCCCAAAGUCAUGGUUAAGUGGGAAACGAUGUGGGAAGGCACAGACAGCCAGGAUGUUGGCUUAGAAGCAGCCAUCAUUUAAAGAAAGCGUAAUAGCUCACUGGUCGAGUCGGCCUGCGCGGAAGAUGUAACGGGGCUAAACCAUGCACCGAAGCUGCGGCAG